Molecule: ribosomal RNA, 382 nt
Filed under: uncultured Nitrosomonas sp.
Lineage: Bacteria; Pseudomonadati; Pseudomonadota; Betaproteobacteria; Nitrosomonadales; Nitrosomonadaceae
Description: bacterial SSU rRNA
Rfam family: Bacterial small subunit ribosomal RNA
Source: RNAcentral
UAGGGGAUCGCAAGACCUUGCGCUAAAGGAGCGGCCGAUGUCUGAUUAGUUAGUUGGUGGGGUAAAGGCUUACCAAGGCAACGAUCAGUAGUUGGUCUGAGAGGACGACCAACCACACUGGGACUGAGACACGGCCCAGACUCCUACGGGAGGCAGCAGUGGGGAAUUUUGGACAAUGGGCGAAAGCCUGAUCCAGCCAUGCCGCGUGAAUGAAGAAGGCCUUCGGGUUGUAAAGCUCUUUUAGUCGGAAAGAAAGAGUUGCAAUGAAUAAUUGUGAUUCAUGACGGUACCGACAGAAAAAGCACCGGCUAACUACGUGCCAGCAGCCGCGGUAAUACGUAGGGUGCGAGCGUUAAUCGGAAUUACUGGGCGUAAAGGGUGC